This 200-nucleotide ribosomal RNA is filed under the name Bacillus pumilus. RNAcentral describes it as "partial 16S ribosomal RNA". It matches the Rfam family "Bacterial small subunit ribosomal RNA", at positions 398 to 589 of the family's 1533-position model. Lineage: Bacteria; Bacillati; Bacillota; Bacilli; Caryophanales; Bacillaceae. The record is from RNAcentral.
CGCGUGAGUGAUGAAGGUUUUCGGAUCGUAAAGCUCUGUUGUUAGGGAAGAACAAGUACCGUUCGAAUAGGGCGGUACCUUGACGGUACCUAACCAGAAAGCCACGGCUAACUACGUGCCAGCAGCCGCGGUAAUACGUAGGUGGCAAGCGUUGUCCGGAAUUAUUGGGCGUAAAGGGCUCGCAGGCGGUUUCUUAACUC